UACAGAGACUGCAAGCGUUAUUCGGAUUCACUGGGCGUAAAGGGUGCGCAGGCGGCUAAGUGUGUUAGGCGUGAAAGCCCGGGGCUUAACCCCGGAAUUGCACCUAAAACUACUUGGCUAGAGCAUUGGAGAGGGUAGCGGAAUUCACGGUGUAGCAGUGAAAUGCGUAGAUAUCGUGAGGAACACCAGAGGCGAAGGCGGCUACCUGGACAAUUGCUGACGCUCAGGCACGAAAGCGUGGGGAGCAAACAGG
This 253-nucleotide ribosomal RNA is filed under the name uncultured bacterium. Its description in RNAcentral is "partial 16S ribosomal RNA". It matches the Rfam family "Bacterial small subunit ribosomal RNA", at positions 524 to 776 of the family's 1533-position model. The record is from RNAcentral.